GACGAACGCUGGCGGCGUGCUUAACACAUGCAAGUCGAACGGAAAGGCCCUGCUUUUGUGGGGUGCUCGAGUGGCGAACGGGUGAGUAACACGUGAGUAACCUGCCCUUGACUUUGGGAUAACUUCAGGAAACUGGGGCUAAUACCGGAUAGGAGCUCCUGCUGCAUGGUGGGGGUUGGAAAGUUUCGGCGGUUGGGGAUGGACUCGCGGCUUAUCAGCUUGUUGGUGGGGUAGUGGCUUACCAAGGCUUUGACGGGUAGCCGGCCUGAGAGGGUGACCGGCCACAUUGGGACUGAGACACGGCCCAGACUCCUACGGGAGGCAGCAGUGGGGAAUAUUGCACAAUGGGCGGAAGCCUGAUGCAGCAACGCCGCGUGCGGGACGACGGCCGUCGGGUUGUAAACCGCUUUCGCCUGUGACGAAGCGUGAGUGACGGUAAUGGGUAAAGAAGCACCGGCUAACUACGUG
RNAcentral lists this ribosomal RNA (468 nucleotides) under uncultured bacterium. RNAcentral describes it as "partial 16S ribosomal RNA". It matches the Rfam family "Bacterial small subunit ribosomal RNA", at positions 28 to 507 of the family's 1533-position model. The record is from RNAcentral.